CUCGUAUGCACUACGGAGAAAUUCUUCUUAAAUUGUUGGCCGGAAUUGUAGUGAUCCGCGACACAAAGAAGUUCUAUCCUCCAGGUGGCGCUAUAAUUUGGUUACAUAUCACAGUAAUCAAGAACUUUAACUCUGCCAAAUAUUUUGGCGCGAAAGAAGGAGCAAAGUAAAUAAGUAAUGGUAAAAAUUUUGUACCAUUCCAGUCGAAAAAAUAUAAAAU
RNAcentral lists this long non-coding RNA (220 nucleotides) under Mytilus galloprovincialis (Mediterranean mussel). The record is from RNAcentral. Lineage: Eukaryota; Metazoa; Mollusca; Bivalvia; Mytilida; Mytilidae.